RNAcentral lists this ribosomal RNA (278 nucleotides) under uncultured Flavobacteriaceae bacterium. RNAcentral describes it as "partial 23S ribosomal RNA". It matches the Rfam family "Bacterial large subunit ribosomal RNA", at positions 1 to 292 of the family's 2925-position model. The record is from RNAcentral. Lineage: Bacteria; Pseudomonadati; Bacteroidota; Flavobacteriia; Flavobacteriales; Flavobacteriaceae.
AAUAGGCUAAUUAAGAGCGUAAGGGGAAUACCUUGGCUCUCAGAGGCGAUGAAGGACGUGAUAAGCUGCGAUAAGUUACGGGGAAUGGCACAAACAUUUUGAUCCGUAAAUUUCCGAAUGGGGCAACCCGGCAUAUUGAAGAUAUGUCACACUGUAAAGUGAGCAAACCUGGUGAACUGAAACAUCUAAGUAACCAGAGGAAUAGAAAACAAAAGUGAUUCCGCUAGUAGUGGCGAGCGAACGCGGAAUAGCCCAAACCUAAAUUGUUACGGCAAUUU